CAGUUUUGCCUAAAGAAUGAGUUUAUCAGGUUGUGUAUUUGUAACGCAGAGAGAACAAGAAAUAAUCAAGUCAAUCUCUUGGAUUUAGAGAUUGUCAUAGCUAUUGCUACUUUGUUAGUCGAGAGAAAAAGAAAAAAAGAUACUGAUUGAUACCACUAUGGCUACUCCAUUAGUUGAGAAAAGAUUGGUAUAGCUGUGGUUUCUUGGUUAGUUGAGAAAUCAUGAAAAGAAAAGAUUGGCACAACUAUAGCUACUUUGUUAGUUGAGAAAAGUGAGAAGAAAGUGUAAUGAUUGGAACAGCUGUAGUUACUUGGUUAGUUAAGAAAACAUGAAAAGAAAAGAUCGUCAUAGCUAUAGCUACUUUGUUAGUCGAGAGAAAAAGAAAAAAAGAUACUGAUUGAUACCACUAUGGCUACUCCAUUAGUUGAGAAAAGAAAUUGGAGCCAUUGUCCAUUAGUCCCAGUGAAAUGGAGAGAAAAACAUGUUCACAGCUCUGAGUUGAUUAAUUUCACCCAUCGUGACUAACAUCCGAGUAUAAUGACAGGCUAGAAGUAGAAAUGACUAGCAAGCGUAUCAUGCAGCUAGACAAGUGUCAUCCUGAGGUCUUGAGCAUUCUGAUGAUGAUGGAACUGUAAGAAGCAAGGGAGGUUCCUUUAGGUCUGAGAAGUACUUAAGAAAUAUUAAAGUUUAAUUACCAUCCAGAUAUCCAAGUUUUUUUUUCUUCCAUCAGAUAACUUGAAUUGUGUUAUUUAAAAAUCAUUACUAUCCCAAUGAAAUUUCCUUCUGGUAUCACAAUAAGCAUAUUGAUGUUAUUACAGACUGUUAUGUUUUAUCAGUGCACAUUUUAAAUGCAUGCAGCCUGUAAAACGUAUUGUAUAUUUCAUAUGUUGGAGAUCCUUCUCUGAAAUACAUGUUUUAUGAUUUUGAGACCUAUCAGGAGUCAAACAGUUAAUUGCUACAUGGCAUGAUUUUUGUUUUAAGAAAAUGUUUUAUUUACUGUUAACACGAGGUGAUUAAUUUGACCGACCAUGUAACAUCUUCGUACUCGUUCAAAGUCUUUCAUGAAUUUCUGUAAAUAACUUUGGUAUCAAACUGUAGAUUAUAAUUCAAAUUUUAGUACUAUACAUUACUUAAUUUCUUAAUUAAAAGUAAAUA
RNAcentral lists this long non-coding RNA (1155 nucleotides) under Limulus polyphemus (Atlantic horseshoe crab). RNAcentral describes it as "uncharacterized LOC106457686, transcript variant X2". Lineage: Eukaryota; Metazoa; Arthropoda; Merostomata; Xiphosura; Limulidae. The record is from RNAcentral.